RNAcentral lists this ribosomal RNA (253 nucleotides) under uncultured bacterium. RNAcentral's name for it is "partial 16S ribosomal RNA". It matches the Rfam family "Bacterial small subunit ribosomal RNA", at positions 524 to 776 of the family's 1533-position model. The record is from RNAcentral.
UACGUAGGGGGCAAGCGUUGUCCGGAAUCAUUGGGCGUAAAGAGCGCGUAGGCGGUCCGGUAAGUCGGUUGUGAAAGUCGGGGGCUCAACCCUCGGAGGCCGACCGAUACUGUCGGGCUAGAGUCCGGAAGAGGCGAGUGGAAUUCCUGGUGUAGCGGUGAAAUGCGCAGAUAUCAGGAGGAACACCAAUGGCGAAGGCAGCUCGCUGGGACGGUACUGACGCUGAGGCGCGAAAGCCAGGGGAGCAAACGGG